GGAAGACAUGAUGAGCACACGAUGGAUGCCAUGGCGCUGCGUGCCGACGAAGGACGGGGCACGGCACCGAUAUGCUCCGGGGAGCCGCGUGCAGGCUGUGAUCCGGAGGUCUCCGAAUGGGGCAACCCGCCACCGUCAGGUGGCGCUCCUUCGUGGAGCGGGAACCCGGCCAACUGAAACAUCUCAGUAGCCGGAGGAAGAGCGAACGACGCCCGUAGUAGCGGCGAGCGAACCGGGCGAGGCCUAAACCGUGGCCGUGUCAAGCCGCCAAGCGUUGCGGCCACGGGGUUGAAGGACUGGCAGGCCGGGGUUGGCGACCCGGCGCCGACCGACCGUUGUGAGGCGAAGCAGUGUGGAACCCUGCACCGUAGAGCGUGAGAGUCGCGUAGCCGGCGACCUCAGGUCGGUAGCCAGCUCCUGAGUAGGUCCGGGCACGAAGAACCCGGACUGAAGCUGGGCAGACCACUGUCCAAGGCGAGCUACACGCAGUGACCGAUAGCGCACAGUACCGUGAGGGAACGGUGAAAAGUACCCCGGUGAGGGGAGUGAAACAGACCCUGAAAUCGUGUGCUUCCAUGCCGUGGGAGCCGGCGUGUCCGGUGACCGCGUGCCUUUUGGAGUAUGAUCCGGCGAGUUAUCCUCAGUGGCGCGGUUAAGGCAGUCCCAGCCGGAGCCGGAGUGAAAGCGAGCCUGAAGAGGGCGGACGUCGCUGGGGAUAGACCCGAAACCGUGUGAGCUACCCAUGGCCAGGCUGAAGCGUCCCUAACAGGACGUGGAGGGCCGCACCGGUGUCUGUUGCAAAAGGCUCGGAUGAGCUGUGGGUAGGGGUGAAAUGCCAAUCGAACACGGAGAUAGCUGGUUCUCCCCGAAAUGUAUUGAGGUACAGCCGCGGGCUAGGCACGCGCGGAGGUAGAGCACUGUUGUUGUGCGGGGGCUUCACCGCUUACCAAGCGACGGCAAACUGCGAAUGCCGCGCGUGCGCGCCGCGAGUGAGACGGCGGGUGCGAAUAUCCGUCGUCGAGAGGGAAACAACCCAGACCGCCAGCUAAGGCCCCCAAGUCAUCGCUGAGUGGGAAAGGUUGUGGCGCCGCUUAGACAACCAGGAGGUUGGCUUAGAAGCAGCCAUCCUUGAAAGAGUGCGUAACAGCUCACUGGUCAAGCAGCGCUGCGCCGAGGCUGUAACGGGGCAAAGCGAUGCGCCGAAGCUGCGGGUU
Molecule: ribosomal RNA, 1214 nt
Filed under: Chloroflexus islandicus
Lineage: Bacteria; Bacillati; Chloroflexota; Chloroflexia; Chloroflexales; Chloroflexaceae
Description: bacterial LSU rRNA
Rfam family: Bacterial large subunit ribosomal RNA
Source: RNAcentral